AAUCUCUUUCAAUUAUUAAUAACAAUAGUUUUUCAUUGAUUCAGACAUUUUCUAUCAUUUAAAUUCAUUGUAAACUGCUUCAAUAAUUCAUUGUUGAGAUUUUUCCUAAUUUCAAAUAAUAAAACAUUAAAAAAUUAUAAGUUUUAAGAACUUUAUACUGAGCUACGUAAUUUCAAAUUCAUUCCCAAAAUUACAAGUAAAUGUUGAAAGAAAACGUAUACUACAUAAGUUCAUAUGCAUCAAGGUACACAAAAAAAAUUGGAAAUUCCAGUUCCAAAGAUCGGACCAUUAGAGGAGCUAGGUAUCGAGUUCUUGGGGUCGCUGAAUCCGAAUUCGAUAUCGCUUUUUAUGAGUUGGCUCAUUUCCAAGUUCAUUUGAAGGUCAAAGCGAGAAAAAGUGGAAAAAAAUCUGAAAAAAUUGUUAGAUAACUUUGCAACGAUCGUAAUUUCACGCGUUGGUUCACGAGCGCGAAAUCAGCGCGUCACGCGACGAGAAGACUUGGCCCCUCAUCAACAGCGCAAGAGGAUGCGCGAAAGGAGACAACGACAUGCGCGCGAGGAGACGCAGCAGAGAUGAGCAAGAGUCAGUUGGACCCCAGCAACAGAUCAACAGCAACAGAUCAACAGUCAGAUGGACCCGGACUCGCGAGCCGAAAAGGCUUACUUCAGGCAUGCGCCAAGAACCACUGCGACAGAAGCUUAUUAAUUUAAUUUCCAUGAAGAUACAAAUUUCACUCCCA
Long non-coding RNA from Trichogramma pretiosum, 739 nucleotides. RefSeq lists it as uncharacterized. The transcript is spliced from 3 exons. The record is from RefSeq and is a predicted model, not a curated record. Lineage: Eukaryota; Metazoa; Arthropoda; Insecta; Hymenoptera; Trichogrammatidae.